This 213-nucleotide ribosomal RNA is filed under the name uncultured Staphylococcus sp. RNAcentral describes it as "partial 16S ribosomal RNA". It matches the Rfam family "Bacterial small subunit ribosomal RNA", at positions 127 to 334 of the family's 1533-position model. The record is from RNAcentral. Lineage: Bacteria; Bacillati; Bacillota; Bacilli; Caryophanales; Staphylococcaceae.
UACCUAUAAGACUGGGAUAACUUCGGGAAACCGGAGCUAAUACCGGAUAAUAUAUUGAACCGCAUGGUUCAAUAGUGAAAGACGGUUUUGCUGUCACUUAUAGAUGGAUCCGCGCCGCAUUAGCUAGUUGGUAAGGUAACGGCUUACCAAGGCAACGAUGCGUAGCCGACCUGAGAGGGUGAUCGGCCACACUGGAACUGAGACACGGUCCAG